CGAGGUUGAGCAUAUAGAAAGGAGAGCAAUUUGGGAGAGAUGGCAGACCAGGAGAAAAGAGGCUAUGGAGGAGAGGGAAGCAAUGGCAAAGGUGGAAGCCUAAUUCCAGCAAAGAAGAAGUCAGUGAAGCAAAUGAUGGCUGAGAAAAUACUUGAAACUUCUUCCAAAGCUUUCAAGAAUGACAAAAAGAAGAUCAAGCCUAGAGAUGAUGAAGAUGAUGGUUAACGAAAAAUUGUUUCUGUUGUUCUUUAUUUGAGUGUUAGUCAUAAUCACAUGUAAAAUUCAUAUCAGUUGCUGCUUUAGUGUGUAAAUUUAGGUAAUUUGUUUAGUGUGUUCUAAGAAAACUAACGCACGAAGCAAAGGAACUAAAUUUAUGGACUGAAGUUUGCAUUCCAGCCAUGAAUAUUUUGAUGUCAUAUACUAUUUUUCUGGUGUUGUUGUUGUAUUUAACAAUUAUAUUCUGGCGAAUGUAUGACUUUUUUUCUUCCAG
This 490-nucleotide long non-coding RNA is filed under the name Coffea arabica (coffee). RNAcentral's name for it is "long non-coding RNA (CARA_LNC007257)". Lineage: Eukaryota; Viridiplantae; Streptophyta; Magnoliopsida; Gentianales; Rubiaceae. The record is from RNAcentral.